RNAcentral lists this small RNA (94 nucleotides) under Arabidopsis thaliana (thale cress). Its description in RNAcentral is "ATSL162960". Lineage: Eukaryota; Viridiplantae; Streptophyta; Magnoliopsida; Brassicales; Brassicaceae. The record is from RNAcentral.
CAAACCGUAACCAGAUCUUGAAAGCCCAAGUAGUGUUUCUUUGUUAGAAGAUACAAAGCCAAAUACUCAUACGGACUUCGGCUACACCAUCAAG